RNAcentral lists this ribosomal RNA (689 nucleotides) under Arthrobacter humicola. Its description in RNAcentral is "bacterial SSU rRNA". It matches the Rfam family "Bacterial small subunit ribosomal RNA", at positions 55 to 756 of the family's 1533-position model. Lineage: Bacteria; Bacillati; Actinomycetota; Actinomycetes; Micrococcales; Micrococcaceae. The record is from RNAcentral.
AUGCAGUCGAACGAUGAUCCGGUGCUUGCACCGGGGAUUAGUGGCGAACGGGUGAGUAACACGUGAGUAACCUGCCCUUAACUCUGGGAUAAGCCUGGGAAACUGGGUCUAAUACCGGAUAUGACUCCUCAUCGCAUGGUGGGGGGUGGAAAGCUUUAUUGUGGUUUUGGAUGGACUCGCGGCCUAUCAGCUUGUUGGUGAGGUAAUGGCUCACCAAGGCGACGACGGGUAGCCGGCCUGAGAGGGUGACCGGCCACACUGGGACUGAGACACGGCCCAGACUCCUACGGGAGGCAGCAGUGGGGAAUAUUGCACAAUGGGCGCAAGCCUGAUGCAGCGACGCCGCGUGAGGGAUGACGGCCUUCGGGUUGUAAACCUCUUUCAGUAGGGAAGAAGCGAAAGUGACGGUACCUGCAGAAGAAGCGCCGGCUAACUACGUGCCAGCAGCCGCGGUAAUACGUAGGGCGCAAGCGUUAUCCGGAAUUAUUGGGCGUAAAGAGCUCGUAGGCGGUUUGUCGCGUCUGCCGUGAAAGUCCGGGGCUCAACUCCGGAUCUGCGGUGGGUACGGGCAGACUAGAGUGAUGUAGGGGAGACUGGAAUUCCUGGUGUAGCGGUGAAAUGCGCAGAUAUCAGGAGGAACACCGAUGGCGAAGGCAGGUCUCUGGGCAUUAACUGACGCUGAGGAGCGA